UACAACCAGACUAUAUGGGAUAACGGCUG
Molecule: small RNA, 29 nt
Filed under: Bombyx mori (domestic silkworm)
Lineage: Eukaryota; Metazoa; Arthropoda; Insecta; Lepidoptera; Bombycidae
Description: ovarian small RNA-20056
Source: RNAcentral